Molecule: long non-coding RNA, 691 nt
Organism: Ruditapes philippinarum (Manila clam)
Lineage: Eukaryota; Metazoa; Mollusca; Bivalvia; Venerida; Veneridae
Exons: 2
Source: RefSeq, a predicted model, not a curated record
CUACACAUACUGAUAUAAACAUUCCUGUAAAGUUUCAUGACUCUAGGUCAAAUUCUUUUUGAGUUACAUGCAACACAAGUUGAAAAUUACAAAAUUUUACUAAGUCAAGGGCAAUAACUCUAAAAUACUAAAAAUAUCCAAACAAAAAUACCCAGGUGCACAACUUCACAUGCUGAUCAACAUUCCCAUAAAGUUUUGUUGAAUUCCAGCCAUCAGUUGCAGAGAACUACUCCAGAAACGAAAUUCUAAGUCAAGGGCAAUAACUCUAAAAAUACUAAAAAUAUCCAGACGAAAAUACCCAGGUGCACAACUUCACAUGCUGAUCAACAUUCCCAUAAAGUUUCGUUGAAUUCCAGCCAUUAGUUGCAGAGAACUACUCCGGAAACGAAAUUCGGACGGACGGAUGGACGGACGGACGGACAGAAGGACGGACGGACAAAAAUACCCAGGUGCACAACUUCACAUGCUGAUCAACAUUCCCAUAAAGUUUCGUUGAAUUCCAGCCAUCAGUUGCAGAGAACUACUCCGGAAACGAAAUUCUAAGUCAAGGGCAAUAACUCUAAAAAUACUAAAAAUAUCCAGACGAAAAUACCCAGGUGCACAACUUCACAUGCUGAUCAACAUUCACAUAAAGUUUCGUUGAAUUCCAGCCAUUAGUUGCAGAGAACUACUCCGGAAACGAAAUUCGGAC